Molecule: ribosomal RNA, 464 nt
Filed under: uncultured bacterium
Lineage: Bacteria
Description: bacterial SSU rRNA
Rfam family: Bacterial small subunit ribosomal RNA
Source: RNAcentral
AGAGUUUGAUCCUGGCUCAGGACGAACGCUGGCGGCGUGCCCAAUACAUGCAUGUCGAGCGGACCGGGCGGGAGCUUGCUUCCGCCUGGUUAGCGGCGGACGGGUGAGUAACACGUGGGUAACCUGCCCGUAAGACCGGGAUAACCCCGGGAAACCGGGGCUAAUACCGGAUAACACCGAAGACCGCAUGGUCUUCGGUUGAAAGGCGGCUUCGGCUGCCACUUACGGAUGGGCCCGCGGCGCAUUAGCUAGUUGGUGAGGUAACGGCUCACCAAGGCGACGAUGCGUAGCCGGCCUGAGAGGGUGACCGGCCACACUGGGACUGAGACACGGCCCAGACUCCUACGGGAGGCAGCAGUAGGGAAUCUUCCGCAAUGGACGAAAGUCUGACGGAGCGACGCCGCGUGAGCGAAGAAGGUCUUCGGAUCGUAAAGCUCUGUUGUUAGGGAAGAAGAAGUACCGUU